ACACUUAUUUUAAACUGGAUCCAUAACUGUUGGAUUGGGUUCAUCCCUACAGGAUCAGAGAGGAUGAGACGAUCAGAGCCAAGAUCCAGAAGAACUGAACUCCCAUCCCCCGAGUCCUGCGGCAGGAAGCGCUCCUUCUCUCCAAGAACUCCUGGACCCUGCAAGCUGCUCCAGAACCAGAGUCCCAGUGAGGAGUCCAGCCAGUCCACCUCUCAGAGUUAAACUACAACAUUAUUAAAGAUCAUGUUUAAAGUUAAAAAAGGAUGCUUUCAGACUGAAUCCAGAAGUUUCUCAAGCUGCAGUCAAAGCAGGUCAUUUGAGGAAUAUAUAAAACAAUUAUAAAACUGUAAUAAGAAUUACUCUGAAUACUUUCUUUGGACAUUUUAUUUACAUUUAUUUUAAUCAAAUGUUUCUGACUUUCUAUCCGAGUGCUUUUCUCAUGAACUAACGACUUCAAUCUUCUUUCUUUUCUCGUGUAUUUCAUAAACAGGAUAUUGUUGUUUGUACUUAUAUCCUGCUUGAUGAGUCAGCAGUAAAGCAGCCAGGCGUUAACGGUCAGCUGGCAUGUGUAUCUGUUCAUUGGCUCAUAUGUGUAGCAUGUUUAAUGGCAGUGUGUUGAAAAUGGCUGACAGGUGAAUAUGUCAGAUCUCUGUGUGUUACUCAGAGAACCGUGUGCAGUGUUUUAGAAAGUGCAGAGUUGAAUUGCAGAUUGUGUGCAGAGCUGAAAAUGUGUUUAGAGUUCUGUUUGAUUUGAUCCAGCCAGUUCUGCCACAGCAAAGCAUAAGGGCUCAGAGCUUGGACCUAUUGUGUUCACAUUAUAUACGCUUCCUUUAGGCAAUAAGGAAUCACUCGGGACAUUUUCAUUGUUAUGUGGAUGAUACUCAAUUAUACACAAUGUAGACAAAAGUAUUGGACCACCUACACAUUAGAGAGAUACCGCAGGUCCUUCCUUCCUGCAGCGGUCAGACUAUAUAACCACCACGACCCCUAGUAGACCCCCCACACAACAACACAGACUAUAACACCUAUUAUCAUUUCUUUUUAAAAUCUUUAAUACUUUGUUGGAUGCAUGCUUUAGGAAACAUGAAGGUGUCUUUGGCUCUUUCUGCUGUAACAAUGUACAUGUAUCCUCUGUGGGACUAAUAAAGGUAUUCUCAUUCUGA
Long non-coding RNA from Trematomus bernacchii (emerald rockcod), 1163 nucleotides. RefSeq lists it as uncharacterized. The transcript is spliced from 2 exons. Lineage: Eukaryota; Metazoa; Chordata; Actinopteri; Perciformes; Nototheniidae. The record is from RefSeq and is a predicted model, not a curated record.